GCUGCUCCUCCUGCACCGGGCGAGGGUAGAGGGAGGGCAUCAGCCCACGGGGCGCUGGGGAAGAGCAGCGGGGCUGUGCUUGGGAGGAAGGGGCUCAGCAGAGGUCCCCGCCCCAGCGGUCAGCGCGGGGCCUCCCAGCCCCUUCAGCAGGGGCCUCCAGCCUCUCCUCCUCCUGACUCUAGACUGGAGCCUGGUGCUGUCCUCAUCUUGUCCCCAGCCGGGAGGGGCCUUGCUAUGUAGUCCAGGCUGGCCUCAAACUCCUCCUGCCUCAGCCUCCCGAGUGCUAUUAUAGCUUGUGCUGGCCAUGAAGGGGGCUGAGAAGCCGGCCGUGGUGGCGCACAUCUGUCAUCCCAGCACUCAGGAGGCUGAGACAGGAGGAUGGCAAGUCCAACCCCAGCCUGGGGAAGUUGGUGACUUAGUGAGACCCUGUGUCAAAAUAAAAAAGGUGCCUUUAACAAGAUGUCAAUAAUCUGAGGAAUCCACACGGCUGCUCCAGGUGCCUAUCUCCUGGGCCCGCUGGAGCCCCUGUGACUGAGGUGCUUCCGCCUCCCUGGCUGCCCACCCGCCUGGACCCACACCUGCUGGCCUCGGAAGCCAGUGGGGCCGACGUCCAUGCUCCGGGUCCCCUCGCCCUCUGCUCCCCUCCAUCCUUCUCCUCCCGAGUGCCAGCUGCACCCAGGGGCCACACAGGCUUGGAAGUCGCGACAGGAAGCUGUGCUGGGCAGCUGAGGCCAGAGCUGUCUGCACAACAGAGUAACGCAGUGGCCCAGGACAAGGUGACAGCAUGUCCUGCAGGACCUCAGGUGCCGUGACUGCGGGUGCAGGAGUCAGGCCACAGGCAGGAAGGGCUCACCGAGCUGUGGGAGUAGGCAGGGCUCACAGGUCCUGAAUGAAGCAGAAACAGCCGGGCAUGGUGGCACAUGCCUGUCAUCUCAACGCUUGGGAGGCUGAGGCAGGAGGUCGCUGUGAGUUCCAGGCCAGCCUGGGCUAUACAGCGAGAUCCUGUCUCAAAAAACAAAAAAACAACAAAAAAGCAGACACAGAAGAACCAAGGGUGGACUGGCCGUUUUGAAGUCUCUCCUUUAAGGAGGGACAGGAGCUGCAGAAUAGAAGUGACCAGAGGGUAGGGCAGGUGCUGCAGGCUCUGUGAGCCUUAGUGGCCGAGGCGGCCGUGCUGAGUGGAAGUGGCUGCUCGGAGGGCGGGCUGUGCUUCUCAGUUUCCUGGAGGCCCGAGGAGUGGCCGCCCUCCAGCAGGCAACUGCAGCUCAGCCCCGACUUGCAGCGACCGGCCCAGCACCGGCCCCUGUUCUCAAUGACACCAGUGCCGUGCCAGAGCCCGAGGGAUAGGACAGUGUCCAGGGGUCCCUGCCAACACGUGCAAGCGAGGCGUGGGUUUUCGUCACAUGCUGGCUCGGCCGCUCCCGUCAAAGGGUUGACCCUUGAAGUCUGGGUGGUGUCAUCCAGCCGUUACAAGGCCUUAAGAACACAAAGGGCCCGGAUGGGAUGGCACAGGCCUGUUGUACCAGCACUCUGGGAGGCUGAGGCAGGAGGAUCCAGUUUGAGUCCAGCUCCAGCAACUUAGCUUCUUAGUAAGAUCUCAAAAUAAGAAAAGAAGAAAAAAAGAGGGCUGGACAUGGAGCUCGGGGCAAAGGCCCUGGGUUCAGUUCCCGGUGAAAAAAAAAGAACAAAAGAGGUUUCCCUGAUGAAGAAGAAAUUCUGCCGGCGAAUGGCAAUGUGGAUCCUGGGCAGAGGUUCCAGCUCUCCCUGCUCCAAGGCGCCUGGCCCAAGUGCGCUGAGGGUGAGGCCAGCCAGCAAAGUAGUCAGGCUCCCAAGACAAGCUCUUCUGCUCAUUUGUUUUCUGAGACAGGGUCUUGCUGUGUAGCCCAGGCUGGCCUCGAAUUCACAGGGAUCCUCCUGCCUCAGCCUCCCCCGAGCUGGGAUGACAGGUGUGCACCACCAUGCCUGGCAAAGCAAAAUCAAUUUAAAGACUAGUUGAAGAAAAAGAAAAACAACCCAGUUUCAAAAGUGGUCAAGGAGCUGAGGCAGGAGGAUCUCUGAGUUUGAGGCCAGCCUGGGCUACACAGCAGAUCCUGUCUCCAUAUAUAUAUAUGUGUGUGUGUGUGUUUACUUUUUGGUACCGGGGAUUGAACUCGGGUCCUUGCGCUUGCGCAGCAGGCAACGAAACCACUGAGCUAAAUCCCUGGUCCCUGUCUCCAUAAAUUAAUUAAUUAAUUAAUUAAGAAGCUGAGCUGACGUCCCCAGAGACACUCACAGGUGGCGCCUGGAGGCUGCCCACAGGGUCACCGGGCCGUGACCUCAGAGGCCAGGAGCCCCCAUGGUCUGAGGAGGCACUGCACACAGCAAACGUCAGCCCAGGGAGGGCAGCCACGCCCCCCGAGGGAAUGCACCGCCGCUGCACUGUGGGUCCUGCUCCACCUGGCCGGGAGGUGGGGAGGCGCAGAGGGAACAUUUCAGAAGCGGAUGGCAGCUGUGCUUGAACAGUGUCGGAAAUGUGAUCUGCACACUGGAAAAUGGUCAGGGUGAGCCGGGCGCGGUGGGCAGGCCUGUGGUCUAGUGUGGUGACUAAUGGUCACCUUGGAGCGUCCAGCUGAGCUGAGCCUGCAUGGCUGGGCGUGAAGACACACCUGAGGAUUGCUGCCAACAGCGUAAGAAGAGACCUGGAGGGCGAGAUCAGGGGCUGUAGAUGUAUUUACUUAUUUAUUUGGUACCUGGGAUCGAACUCCGGACCCUGUGUUUGCGAGGCAGGCAGCAGCACUACUGAGCUACAUCCCCAGCCCAGCUGUUGAUUUUCUAGGAGAAGCUUGCUGCGGCUGGUUUCCUGAUGUGAACUCCGCUGUUCUCGCCCGAGGAGGAGCUUGGGGGCUCACUGUCUCGGGGAAUGGCUGCUGGUCUUCACCGUGGGCGUCACUUCCUGCUCCAGUGCAGACCCCUCAGCCUCGUGCCACAGGUCCUUCCCCCACUGGAGCAGACUUUCCAGCUUCCACCACUGGCCUUGGGCCUUCCCGGGGCAGAGCCUCGAGACGGACAAGCAUGAGGCACUGCCGUGGGCUCUGGGCCUCUGGCUGGACUCAUCAAGGACACUGCUGUGGGGUCCAGGCCCUCAGCUGGAUUCCUUGGCUCUCUAGUGUGCAGCUAGAUCACUUGCACUCCUCUGAAGUUGACUUUUCAGGUGACUACUAUAAAAUCCUAUAAACUAUGUGUCCUGUGUUAAAUCUAUUCCCUUGCAAAACCCUGACUACAACAUCUAGCUUCUUGGGAGGCUGAGGAAGGAGGAUCACAAGUUUAAGGUCAGCCAGGACAACUCAGCAAAACCCUGUGCCAGAAUUUAAAAAAUAGCCAGGCAUGGGGGUGCAUGCCUGUAAUCACAGGAUUCAGGAUGCUGAGGCAGGAGGAUCUCGUCAAGUUCCAGGCCGCCUGGGCUACAUAGCCAGAC
RNAcentral lists this long non-coding RNA (3454 nucleotides) under Heterocephalus glaber (naked mole-rat). RNAcentral's name for it is "lncRNA (ENSHGLG00000038745.1)". The record is from RNAcentral. Lineage: Eukaryota; Metazoa; Chordata; Mammalia; Rodentia; Bathyergidae.